RNAcentral lists this long non-coding RNA (637 nucleotides) under Capsicum annuum. RNAcentral describes it as "long non-coding RNA (CANN_LNC020377)". The record is from RNAcentral. Lineage: Eukaryota; Viridiplantae; Streptophyta; Magnoliopsida; Solanales; Solanaceae.
CUUGACAUAAGAUAUAAGGGUCCAUCAUUUUAACAAUAUGUUUGAUAUCCUCUUGAAGUCCUUUCAGGAUAAACUCUAGAAAAAUUCCUCUGAAAUGGAAGGGCUUCUCAUUAACACCGAAGACUUCAAGUCUUCAAACUUCCUCAAGGAAUCAUUGACUGUGUCUUUUUGUUCUAUGUUUUGAAUUUUCCCAUGAGAUUAGAUUUGUUGUUGAUUGCUUCCUCAAAUCUUCUACAGAUUUCUUCACAUAAUUCUUUCCAAGAAAAUAUUUCUGUUUCUUAAAUGAUAAGAGACAUACCAAACUUCAGCCUUGUCAUUCAAAUGCAACAUUGUCAUCUAUGACUUCUAUUAUGGGUAAUUGGUGUGGUGAUAAUGAAAGCAUCUUUCACACCUCAACCAAAAUCAAGGGUCCUCCCCCCUCUUUCCACCGAAGUAUGAAAACCCAAUCUUGGAUUCAUGACUAUGGUGGAAGGAUCUCUUUAUAACCAUAGGAUUCACCAUCUGCUUUCAUCUUUGUCUGAUGUUGGAUCCUUUCAGUAAUGCUAUCUUUCCUUGGUGCACUACCCAAAAUUUCCGCAUGAUUUAGAGGCAUCUUCUACACUAAUAGAUCUAAUUUCUUACCUAGUCGAACUUCUUA